GGCGAACGCUGGCGGCGCGCUUAACACAUGCAAGUCGAACGGAAACACCUGCUUUCCCUUGUGGUUUGCGUGUACUCGAGUGGCGAACUGGUGAGUAACACGUGAGUUAUCUUCCCCCAACUUGUGUAUAAGCCUGGGAAACUGGGUCUCAUUCCCGAUAGGACUGCAGGGUGGUGCCUGUGUUGGAACACGAUUUUCUAGUGGUUGGGGAUGAGCUCGCGGCGGAUCAGCUUGUUGGCGGGGUAAUGGCCUACCAAUGCGACGAUGGGUAGCCGGACUGAGAGGGUGAGCAGCCACACUGGAACUGAGACACGGUCCAGACUCCGACGGGAGGCAGCAGUGGGGAAUAUUGGACAAUGGGCGCAAGCCUGAUCCAGCCAUACCGCGUGGGUGAAGAAGGCCUUCGGGUUGUAGAGCUCUUUUGUUGGGGAAGAAAAGCAGCAGAUUAAUACCCCGCUGUUCUGACGGUACCCAAAGAAUAAGCACCGGCUAACUUCGUG
This 500-nucleotide ribosomal RNA is filed under the name uncultured bacterium. Its description in RNAcentral is "partial 16S ribosomal RNA". It matches the Rfam family "Bacterial small subunit ribosomal RNA", at positions 28 to 507 of the family's 1533-position model. The record is from RNAcentral.